AAAUUAUUAGUUAAUCUAUAACAUAGAAAUGUCAUUUCUAAAUUAUUUUCAUAAAUAUAAUUUU
This 64-nucleotide transfer RNA is filed under the name Macrocheles nataliae. Its description in RNAcentral is "tRNA-Asp". Lineage: Eukaryota; Metazoa; Arthropoda; Arachnida; Mesostigmata; Macrochelidae. The record is from RNAcentral.